CAAGUCGAGCGGACAGAAGGGAGCUUGCUCCCGGAUGUUAGCGGCGGACGGGUGAGUAACACGUGGGUAACCUGCCUGUAAGACUGGGAUAACUCCGGGAAACCGGAGCUAAUACCGGAUAGUUCCUUGAACCGCAUGGUUCAAGGAUGAAAGACGGUUUCGGCUGUCACUUACAGAUGGACCCGCGGCGCAUUAGCUAGUUGGUGAGGUAACGGCUCACCAAGGCGACGAUGCGUAGCCGACCUGAGAGGGUGAUCGGCCACACUGGGACUGAGACACGGCCCAGACUCCUACGGGAGGCAGCAGUAGGGAAUCUUCCGCAAUGGACGAAAGUCUGACGGAGCAACGCCGCGUGAGUGAUGAAGGUUUUCGGAUCGUAAAGCUCUGUUGUUAGGGAAGAACAAGUGCAAGAGUAACUGCUUGCACCUUGACGGUACCUAACCAGAAAGCCACGGCUAACUACGUGCCAGCAGCCGCGGUAAUACGUAGGUGGCAAGCGUUGUCCGGAAUUAUUGGGCGUAAAGGGCUCGCAGGCGGUUUCUUAAGUCUGAUGUGAAAGCCCCCGGCUC
RNAcentral lists this ribosomal RNA (569 nucleotides) under Bacillus sp. CSeB0_56. RNAcentral describes it as "bacterial SSU rRNA". It matches the Rfam family "Bacterial small subunit ribosomal RNA", at positions 58 to 610 of the family's 1533-position model. The record is from RNAcentral. Lineage: Bacteria; Bacillati; Bacillota; Bacilli; Caryophanales; Bacillaceae.